RNAcentral lists this ribosomal RNA (116 nucleotides) under Bacillus cereus. Lineage: Bacteria; Bacillati; Bacillota; Bacilli; Caryophanales; Bacillaceae. The record is from RNAcentral.
UCUGGUAAUGAUGGCAGAGACGUCGCACCCGUUCCCCUCCCCAACACGGAAGUUAAGCUCUCUAGCGCCGAUGGUAGUUGGGACCUUGUCCCUGUGAGAGUAGGACGUCGCCAAGC